This 623-nucleotide ribosomal RNA is filed under the name Globigerinella siphonifera. Its description in RNAcentral is "bacterial SSU rRNA". The stretch from base 1 to 542 matches the Rfam family "Eukaryotic small subunit ribosomal RNA", at positions 1292 to 1607 of the family's 1831-position model. Lineage: Eukaryota; Foraminifera; Rotaliida; Globigerinidae. The record is from RNAcentral.
UCUUAGUUCGUGGAGUGAUCUGUCUGCUUAAUUGCGUUUCAAAUAUAUUUUAUUAUAUAACGAGUCUACAAAGGAGUGGUUCAUUAACAGACAAUCAUAUCUUUGAGCGUCUGGAAUCUACUCUAUUUGGCUCAAUUGAACGCAACGGACGUGAUCGCGAGUCCUUGUUGAACUUCAGUAUAUAUUGACUAUCCCCGUAGGAAGGGAUUGGCAAUAAUUGAAUGUUCGCUUUCUAUUAGGUGUGUAUAUAUAGUCUCAAAAUUGCAUGUAUUUGUAAUGGCGAGUAAUAUGUACUAUCCUAUAGGAAAACUCGGGCGACCGCUGUAAUAUUUCUCUUUAAAACAGAGGAAGAUUGCGGCAAUAACAGGUCUGUGAUGCCCUCAGAUGUCCCGGGCCGCACACGUGCUACAUUGAUUAGCGCAGUGCGCAUACUUUCAAUAUGAUACAUUAGAUUGGAUUGUUCUGUUGAGCUCCAUCUAAUACUAUCCGGCUUGAGAAGGCUGGGUAAUCAAUUGUAAGUGCUGGUUCCUCCUCCCGUUGAGCAUUUUAAUAAUGGCCUCUCUACAUCCCUAGCAAUAUGCCUAGUGCGAUUGUAGUUGAGCCUUGCCAUUUAUGCAAGUGUC